Molecule: ribosomal RNA, 426 nt
Filed under: uncultured bacterium
Lineage: Bacteria
Description: bacterial SSU rRNA
Rfam family: Bacterial small subunit ribosomal RNA
Source: RNAcentral
GAGGAAUAUUGCGCAAUGGGGGCAACCCUGACGCAGCGACGCCGCGUGGAUGAUGAAGGCCCUUGGGUCGUAAAAUCCUGUCAGAUGGAAAGAAAUGUAUAGCAGUUAAUAUCUGUUAUAUUUGACGGUACCAUCAAAGGAAGCACCGGCUAACUCCGUGCCAGCAGCCGCGGUAAUACGGAGGGUGCAAGCGUUGUUCGGAAUUACUGGGCGUAAAGCGCGCGUAGGCGGUUUGCUAAGUCAGAUGUGAAAGCCCUCGGCUUAACCGGGGACGGGCAUUUGAAACUGGCAGACUUGAGUACUGGAGGGGGUGGUGGAAUUCCCGGUGUAGAGGUGAAAUUCGUAGAUAUCGGGAGGAAUACCGGUGGCGAAGGCGACCACCUGGCCAGAUACUGACGCUGAGGUGCGAAAGCGUGGGGAGCAAAC